Molecule: long non-coding RNA, 462 nt
Filed under: Rattus norvegicus (Norway rat)
Lineage: Eukaryota; Metazoa; Chordata; Mammalia; Rodentia; Muridae
Description: long non-coding RNA NONRATT000262
Source: RNAcentral
UGUUCCUGAAAGGGAAAUUCAAAGAAGAGAAACAGAAAGAAAUGGCUAAUUCUCCAAUAAACAUGUCCCAGGGUCCACUGAGGUCAACCAGAGCCAUUUGUGAGGCUGAGGGUUUGGAGUUAUGUGCUGGAGCCUGAGUGCUCAGCAGAGGAUGACAACUAAAGCAGUGAUUCUUCCACAAUAUAUCCAUAGCCAACGUCUGAGAGGGUCACUAGCCAACUAUUCAUUCUUCUUCAAAGAGGAAAAUCAAAGAGAAACGGAAAGAAAUGGCUGAUUCUUCAGUCAACAUGUCCAAGCGUCUGUUGACAUUCCGAGAUGUGGCUGUGGACUUCUCCCAGGAGGAGUGGGAAUGCCUGGACUCUGCUCAGAGGACUUUGUAUAUUGAAGUGAUGGUCGAGAAUUAUACCAACCUGGUGUCUGUGGAGAAUUAUUCUAUACGUGGUACUGUCCAUCGACCUCUGA